This 1472-nucleotide ribosomal RNA is filed under the name uncultured organism. Its description in RNAcentral is "SSU rRNA". It matches the Rfam family "Bacterial small subunit ribosomal RNA". The record is from RNAcentral.
CAUGACGAACGCUGGCGGCGUGCCUAAUACAUGCAAGUCGAGCGAGCGGAACUAACAGAUUUACUUCGGUAAUGACGUUAGGAAAGCGAGCGGCGGAUGGGUGAGUAACACGUGGGGAACCUGCCCCAUAGUCUGGGAUACCACUUGGAAACAGGUGCUAAUACCGGAUAAGAAAGCAGAUCGCAUGAUCAGCUUUUAAAAGGCGGCGUAAGCUGUCGCUAUGGGAUGGCCCCGCGGUGCAUUAGCUAGUUGGUAAGGUAAAGGCUUACCAAGGCGAUGAUGCAUAGCCGAGUUGAGAGACUGAUCGGCCACAUUGGGACUGAGACACGGCCCAAACUCCUACGGGAGGCAGCAGUAGGGAAUCUUCCACAAUGGACGCAAGUCUGAUGGAGCAACGCCGCGUGAGUGAAGAAGGUUUUCGGAUCGUAAAGCUCUGUUGUUGGUGAAGAAGGAUAGAGGUAGUAACUGGCCUUUAUUUGACGGUAAUCAACCAGAAAGUCACGGCUAACUACGUGCCAGCAGCCGCGGUAAUACGUAGGUGGCAAGCGUUGUCCGGAUUUAUUGGGCGUAAAGCGAGCGCAGGCGGAAGAAUAAGUCUGAUGUGAAAGCCCUCGGCUUAACCGAGGAACUGCAUCGGAAACUGUUUUUCUUGAGUGCAGAAGAGGAGAGUGGAACUCCAUGUGUAGCGGUGGAAUGCGUAGAUAUAUGGAAGAACACCAGUGGCGAAGGCGGCUCUCUGGUCUGCAACUGACGCUGAGGCUCGAAAGCAUGGGUAGCGAACAGGAUUAGAUACCCUGGUAGUCCAUGCCGUAAACGAUGAGUGCUAAGUGUUGGGAGGUUUCCGCCUCUCAGUGCUGCAGCUAACGCAUUAAGCACUCCGCCUGGGGAGUACGACCGCAAGGUUGAAACUCAAAGGAAUUGACGGGGGCCCGCACAAGCGGUGGAGCAUGUGGUUUAAUUCGAAGCAACGCGAAGAACCUUACCAGGUCUUGACAUCUAGUGUCAUUUGUAGAGAUACAAAGUUCCCUUCGGGGACGCUAAGACAGGUGGUGCAUGGCUGUCGUCAGCUCGUGUCGUGAGAUGUUGGGUUAAGUCCCGCAACGAGCGCAACCCUUGUUAUUAGUUGCCAGCAUUAAGUUGGGCACUCUAAUGAGACUGCCGGUGACAAACCGGAGGAAGGUGGGGAUGACGUCAAGUCAUCAUGCCCCUUAUGACCUGGGCUACACACGUGCUACAAUGGGCAGUACAACGAGAAGCGAGCCUGCGAAGGCAAGCGAAUCUCUGAAAGCUGUUCUCAGUUCGGACUGCAGUCUGCAACUCGACUGCACGAAGCUGGAAUCGCUAGUAAUCGCGGAUCAGCACGCCGCGGUGAAUACGUUCCCGGGCCUUGUACACACCGCCCGUCACACCAUGGGAGUCUGCAAUGCCCAAAGCCGGAGGCCUAACCUUCGGGAAGGAGCCGUCUAAGGCGG